This 100-nucleotide small RNA is filed under the name Flavobacterium frigoris. RNAcentral describes it as "Flavo-1 RNA". It matches the Rfam family "Flavo-1 RNA". Lineage: Bacteria; Pseudomonadati; Bacteroidota; Flavobacteriia; Flavobacteriales; Flavobacteriaceae. The record is from RNAcentral.
GAUUAGCCCCGAUAGAAGCGGCAUCCCCCGAUUUAAAGAAACUAAGGCAAUAAGCUUUGUUUUUUUAAAUCGGGGAAUACAGCGAAUAGCGGGAGGGAAC